Oreochromis aureus is the source of this 1384-nucleotide long non-coding RNA. The record is from Ensembl. NCBI's taxonomy places the organism in Eukaryota, Metazoa, Chordata, Actinopteri, Cichliformes, Cichlidae.
CUCUUACACAAACCAUACAGACAUGGCAAAGGUUGAAUCGCCAGUCACAGCUUUGAUAGCAACUGUAUACAGGCCACCAAAUUACAGCCACGUGAGGUUUUUACCACAAAUGCAAUGUCUUUUGGACUCAUUGGAAAUGAUGAAUUGCCAACCAAUUAUUGUUUGUGGAGAUUUCAAUGAGGACCUUAUGAGCAGAGGAAAAAAACCCAUCCAAGAACUGUUUCAGUCAAGAGGAUAUGCACAACUUAUUACUGCUGCAACUACCGAAAAACACACAUUGAUUGAUCACCUUUACAUAUCACAGCCAUACGCCUGCCUCCAAUCAGGUGUUCUGAAUACAUAUCACAGUUAUCACAACCCCAUUUAUUGUGUAAUUCACUAACACAAAAUGACUGCAAGGUUGUGAGGGAUAUGGACUUGCCAAGUGAUCUUAGUGUCUUUGCAACUGAGCACACUCUACCACCAACAAGGACAGCUCACCAGUGGGAGCUGAUAGAUAAGACUGCUCUCAUCCAUUGAAGAGCUGACCAGAAACGUGAACAGAGAGACUGCAACUGCACCUGAUGGGAUCCCUGCCAUAACAGAUGUGUUCUGUCCAGUGAAGGCAGUGGAGAAGCCCUACACUGAUCUUGAAACUGUGCCACGCUAGUAGAGACCGGCUACAAGGAUGGGCAGCUGUUUUCACAAAGUCAGCCAACCACUUGCUUCCAAAUGACCCUUAUCCAGAAGUAUCCGUGAGUGCCUCAUCAACAGAAACUAAAGUGGAGACCUACCUCUCAGAGAAAAACGCACACAUAAGAAAAGCCGACCCACUUCAGUACUGGGAAGAACAUCCUAAUCUGUUUCCCUCUAUGGCUGCUGUUGCGAUCCCAGUGUGCCCCCUGUAGCUCUGUGGACAGUUUUGGAUUUGUUUACAUCUCACCCAACCGCUCACGGCAGAUGGCUGCACCUCUCUAAGCCUGGUUCUGCCGGAGGUUUCUUCCUGUUAAAAGGGAGUUUUUCCUUCCCACUGUCGCCAAAGUGCUUGCUCAUAGGGGGUCAUAUGAUUGUUGGGUUUAUCUAUAUACAUUGAUGCUUGUAUGCUUUUCAUUUAUACUUUUGCCUUACUCUUCGGUUCAUAAUAUAAAGUUACUUGAAUGUUUUCCUUUUCCUUUUUUAUUUUAUAUUGCUUUGCUAUUUACCACAAUCUAAAUAUCAUGUUUAAAUGUCAUACAUUAUUGUAAAUGGUAUUUGUACAAAAUAUUGUUUGAAUAACAUGAUACAUUUUAGUCCCACAAGGGGAAAUUUCAUAAUUUGCAUGUGGAAUUUCCCCUUUCACAUUAAAAUACCUUUGAAAUACAAAUUGAAUACCGCUUAAUGGACAUUUAUUUCUACCACUUUAAAC